UACAGAGGUCUCAAGCGUUGUUCGGAUUCAUUGGGCGUAAAGGGUGCGUAGGCGGCGCGGUAAGUCGGGUGUGAAAUCUCGGAGCUUAACUCCGAAACUGCAUUCGAUACUGCCGUGCUUGAGGACUGGAGAGGAGACUGGAAUUUACGGUGUAGCGGUGAAAUGCGUAGAUAUCAGGAGGAACACCGGUGGCGAAGGCGGCUCUCUGGACCGUAACUGACGCUGAGGCGCGAAAGCGUGGGGAGCAAACAGG
This 253-nucleotide ribosomal RNA is filed under the name uncultured bacterium. RNAcentral's name for it is "partial 16S ribosomal RNA". It matches the Rfam family "Bacterial small subunit ribosomal RNA", at positions 524 to 776 of the family's 1533-position model. The record is from RNAcentral.